GCUCAGGAUGAACGCUGGCGGCGUGCCUAAUACAUGCAAGUCGAGCGAACAGACGAGGAGCUUGCUCCUCUGACGUUAGCGGCGGACGGGUGAGUAACACGUGGAUAACCUACCUAUAAGACUGGGAUAACUUCGGGAAACCGGAGCUAAUACCGGAUAAUAUGUUGAACCGCAUGGUUCAACAGUGAAAGACGGUCUUGCUGUCACUUAUAGAUGGAUCCGCGCCGCAUUAGCUAGUUGGUAAGGUAACGGCUUACCAAGGCAACGAUGCGUAGCCGACCUGAGAGGGUGAUCGGCCACACUGGAACUGAGACACGGUCCAGACUCCUACGGGAGGCAGCAGUAGGGAAUCUUCCGCAAUGGGCGAAAGCCUGACGGAGCAACGCCGCGUGAGUGAUGAAGGUCUUCGGAUCGUAAAACUCUGUUAUUAGGGAAGAACAAAUGUGUAAGUAACUAUGCACGUCUUGACGGUACCUAAUCAGAAAGCCACGGCUAACUACGUGCCAGCAGCCGCGGUAAUACGUAGGUGGCAAGCGUUAUCCGGAAUUAUUGGGCGUAAAGCGCGCGUAGGCGGUUUUUUAAGUCUGAUGUGAAAGCCCACGGCUCAACCGUGGAGGGUCAUUGGAAACUGGAAAACUUGAGUGCAGAAGAGGAAAGUGGAAUUCCAUGUGUAGCGGUGAAAUGCGCAGAGAUAUGGAGGAACACCAGUGGCGAAGGCGACUUUCUGGUCUGUAACUGACGCUGAUGUGCGAAAGCGUGGGGAUCAAACAGGAUUAGAUACCCUGGUAGUCCACGCCGUAAACGAUGAGUGCUAAGUGUUAGGGGGUUUCCGCCCCUUAGUGCUGCAGCUAACGCAUAAGCACUCCGCCUGGGAG
Molecule: ribosomal RNA, 875 nt
Filed under: Staphylococcus sp. BRM9
Lineage: Bacteria; Bacillati; Bacillota; Bacilli; Caryophanales; Staphylococcaceae
Description: bacterial SSU rRNA
Rfam family: Bacterial small subunit ribosomal RNA
Source: RNAcentral